RNAcentral lists this ribosomal RNA (107 nucleotides) under Aotus nancymaae (Ma's night monkey). Lineage: Eukaryota; Metazoa; Chordata; Mammalia; Primates; Aotidae. The record is from RNAcentral.
ACCUAUGGCCAUACCCUCCUGAACAUGCCCAAUCUCCUCUGAUCUCAGAAGCUAAGCAAGAUCAGGCCUGGUUAGUAGUUAGACAGGAGAAAAUGUAACCCUAAAUG